GGACCCGCACAAGUAGUGGAGCAUGUGGUUUAAUUCGAAGAUACGCGCAGAACCUUACCAACACUUGACAUGUUCGUCGCGACUUUAAGAGAUUAGAGUCUUCGGUUCGGCCGGACAAAACACAGGUGCUGCAUGGCUGUCGUCAGCUCGUGUCGUGAGAUGUUGGGUUAAGUCCCGCAACGAGCGCAACCCUCACUUUUAGUUGCCAUCAUUAAGUUGGGCACUCUGAAAGAACUGCCAGUGAUAAGCUGGAGGAAGGUGGGGAUGACGUCAAGUCCUCAUGGCCCUUACGUGUUGGGCUACACACGUGCUACAAUGGUAUCUACAACAGGAAGCAAGACGGCGACGUUAAGCAAAUCCUUAAAAGAUACCUCAGUUCGGAUUGCACUCUGCAACUCGAGUGCAUGAAGCUGGAAUUACUAGUAAUCGU
RNAcentral lists this ribosomal RNA (430 nucleotides) under uncultured bacterium. RNAcentral's name for it is "bacterial SSU rRNA". It matches the Rfam family "Bacterial small subunit ribosomal RNA", at positions 917 to 1345 of the family's 1533-position model. The record is from RNAcentral.